ACUGACUUCCUUCGCACUCAGCCCACUCGCACCCGGGUGAAUAAACAGCCUUUGUUGCUCACACUUAGCCUGUUCAAGUUGUCUCUUCAAUUAGAUGCUCGCAUAACAUUUGGUGCCGAAAGCCCGGGAUAGGGGAACUCCUCCGGCAGACCUCUCCUCUAUCCUCCCGGUACCCACGUUCUCCCAUGCAAGAGACUUCCCUCGCCCUCAGGACCUCAGACCAGCUCCGCGAGCACUCCGGCCUCUGUCUAUGGAUAUGGUGUUCAAUAAUAGGGAAGAGACUGCCCGGCGACAGCGCAUUUCAGAACUACAGAUGCUUGCCUCCGCCAUAAGACAAACCCCAGCUGCACUGCCUACCUGCAAGAACUUCAAGGCAUCUAAACGCAACAUCCAACAGCCCCUCUGGGACUUUGCUUCAAGCGAUGAAAACCUGGCCACUGGGCCAAGGAAUGCCUGCAGCCUGGGAUUCCUCCUAAGCCAUGCCCCGCCUGUGCGGGCCCUCACUGGAAGUCUGACUGCCCGACUCUCAUCGCCACUUCCGGAGCUCCUGGAGCUCAAACCCAAAGCUCCCCACCGACUCCUUCCCAGAUCUCCUCGGCUUGGCGGCUGAAGACUGACGCUGCCCGAACGUCUCGGAGGCCCCUUAGACAAUCGCGGAUGCCGAGCUUCGGCAUAAAAAGACAGGAAUGUAAGGUCCUCUGAGCAGGCGGCGCCAUGGUCAAGCCAUCGUGACCCCUGUGACUCACACGUACACAUCCAGAAGGUCUCCUGGAGCCAGAAAGUCUGGGACGACAGGAAAACCACAAAAGAAGAAAAACGGCUAGUUCCUGUCUUAGCUGAUCAGCCAACCUUGUGACAUUCUAUCAUUGUAACAGGCUGUACCCUAACUGAUCAAUCAACCUCAUGACACUGUGCUCUGUAACCUUAUGAUAAUGUACCUUAUGACAUUCUUCCCCUGCCCUCAAUAAACAGCUCCGAACUAUAA
This is a long non-coding RNA of Homo sapiens (human), 985 nucleotides long. The record is from Ensembl. Lineage: Eukaryota; Metazoa; Chordata; Mammalia; Primates; Hominidae.